GCCGCUUUAGCUCAGUCGGUAGAGCACGUCAUUCGUAAUGACGGGGUCAGGUGUUCGAGUCACCUAAGCGGCACCA
This 76-nucleotide transfer RNA is filed under the name Agrobacterium tumefaciens. RNAcentral describes it as "tRNA-Thr". It matches the Rfam family "tRNA". Rfam says of the family: Transfer RNA (tRNA) molecules are approximately 80 nucleotides in length. Their secondary structure includes four short double-helical elements and three loops (D, anti-codon, and T loops). Further hydrogen bonds mediate the characteristic L-shaped molecular structure. tRNAs have two regions of fundamental functional importance: the anti-codon, which is responsible for specific mRNA codon recognition, and the 3' end, to which the tRNAs corresponding amino acid is attached (by aminoacyl-tRNA synthetases). tRNAs cope with the degeneracy of the genetic code in two manners: having more than one tRNA (with a specific anti-codon) for a particular amino acid; and 'wobble' base-pairing, i.e. permitting non-standard base-pairing at the 3rd anti-codon position. RNAcentral also lists the same sequence under 13 other names. Lineage: Bacteria; Pseudomonadati; Pseudomonadota; Alphaproteobacteria; Hyphomicrobiales; Rhizobiaceae. The record is from RNAcentral.